RNAcentral lists this small RNA (107 nucleotides) under Marmota monax (woodchuck). Lineage: Eukaryota; Metazoa; Chordata; Mammalia; Rodentia; Sciuridae. The record is from RNAcentral.
GCUGGGUAUGGUGGUACACACCUGUAAUCCCAGCAGCUCAGGAGGCUGAGGCAGGAGGGUCACAAGUUCAAGGUCAGCCUCAGCAACUUAGUGAGAUCCUAUCUCAA